CAAGAUGAACCAAAUACAUGAUAGUAGUGAGUGAAGGACACAAGAUUGUAGCAUGAAAGAUCAGAUUUUCUAAACCAACAUAUUGAUGACAAAAGAAUCAUGAAAUCAAACAUAGUAGCGAGAAAAAAAGAACCUGUUGUCAAUGGCCAGCUGUUCUUAUUGAGACCACAAGCUCGAUAUGAAGCUUUACUUGGUUCCUCAACUUUGGUUUUUAGCAGUUUGGUCUUUUAUCCAAUAAGCACCCUGAUUAUCCAUAAUCUACAAUCAAAAUGGCAACAUGCUUGAUCUAAUGUUGGAUUAAAGAAUGCAUGAUCCAAAUUGUUACCCAGAAAACGGAAAGUAUUUCAUAACAUGUUACAUGGUCAGCAGACAUGAGGGUAAGUGUCAGAUAUCGAUAUUUAUUCAACAUGGGUAUGCUCAAUUUUUUUCAUGUAUUUGAAUGAUGAUAUAACUAAGUAAUUUAAUCCCUAUACAGAAAUGUUGGUGCAAACAACUAAAAUUGAUAAACUGCGUUCACAGAGAACAGUUUAAAUGCAGACCUGAACUUCUAAGACAAUAUAAACUUGUAGAUAGAACUGAUGCAGUAAGAUAAAUUUCUUCUAUUAAAGGACAGGUUUUGUCAGAUUUCAAAAGUCUGUGUUAGCAUGUAGAUGGUUUGCCGAACAUGGCAUUGAAUAAGAGUAGUCCAAAGAAAAUGAACAGUUACAGUAUCAUAACACACGAGGAGCUCAAACAUUCUAUAUCCUAUAAUAUCUGUUUGUAAGUAGAAAACAGAACUACCAAGGUUGCAAUGAAACACAACCAUUACAACCUAAAAACUUGAACUUUCCAAAGAGAUCCAGCAGACAGUAUUAGAUAGAAUUAGAUUGUCAUGAAUGUAAAGUUGCAAAGACACAUCAAACAUUGGCACGAAGUAGAAGCUUACAUUUGAAAAUAGUGAAUUUUGCCAAUAAUUUCAGAACUUCUUUCUCCCUAAACAGACUAUAUAUAUAUUAUACAUAUAUAUAUACACACACAAAUAACACACAGAAACACACAAGUUUGUACGUUAGAAAUUAUACCUGAGAUGAUUUUGUCAAGUGUAUUUGAUAGAAAUCUGGAAUAUUUUAUUCAGAAGCCUUCCC
Molecule: long non-coding RNA, 1124 nt
Filed under: Gossypium barbadense (sea-island cotton)
Lineage: Eukaryota; Viridiplantae; Streptophyta; Magnoliopsida; Malvales; Malvaceae
Description: long non-coding RNA (GBAR_LNC007799)
Source: RNAcentral